GUGAUCCCGAUGACUUAUGAAAGUGACGUCACUACGUCGUCACGGCCACUCGGCCGUUUAGCAUUUGAUUCAAGAGGUAAAAAACUUUAAAAAACUGAGCUAAAAUGAUAAAACACGUUUGUGUAUUCAAAUGAUUCGGAAAGAAUUCACACUUAAGUUUUUAUAAACUGCGAAGAAUAAAGAGAAGAGCAGCAAAUUGAUCUCUUUGGCGGGACAACUGGAAUCCAGUUCCCAGGCAGUCCUGGCUGCUGGCCUGCCGCUGCUGCUUACUGACAGAGUCUGGACAGCAGGGGAGGGUAGAGUAUUCCUCGAGGGGGCUAGGACGCUUCCAGCUGGGCUAUUGAGGUGUGGAGCUGGCCUCGGGGUAAGCCUCUCUUACUCUCUUCGAGGGAAAAUUCCCUGUUUCUCCGUUUCCCAUCGUCUGACUCGUAACUCAAAAAGGCACACUUUAUUACACUUUGGAGGUUCCAGGCAGCACUGGAUGAUUUACCCAAACAGCAUGAAGGAACACAAAGCAGUGCAUAAUGUGCAAUCUGAUAAGUGUUCUCUUGCGUGCGCCAGGCCCCCCCUCCUUCAUCGUCCUAUACAUCACUGGCUGGCUCAGCUGUGGUUUGCGAGAGGAGAACUCUGGGAUUGGUGUGGCUGAAGUUGAUGAAUAGGCCUGCGAGGGUGAGAAACUCCAGGGCCAAGCUGUAGGUCCAUCCCCAUGGCAUGUGAUGCUGAUUGGCUUUGUCCUGUGCGGCCGCUCUGGAGAAGCGGACAUUAAGAUUAAGUGAUGCUGUCGUGUCGGGGAGCAGUGUACUGCAUCAUCCUGGGGAAGAGACAGCUGCGGUGGUUAAUCCUUCAUCACCAGGGGAGCGCUGCCAGAGCAGAGAUAUACAGCCAAAGAUAACCCUCCAUAACUUCUGCUAAAGAUCAGAAACUUUGAGUUCGCAUCCAUCUGUCCUCAAUCCUCACUUAAAGAUGAGAAAUGAGCAGCGGCAGUGCUGCAGACAGUGGAAAACAAAUGGAGCAAAUAACAUCAAGAUGAGGUGAAUGUUUUAGUGAGAGGUAAUCCCUCUAACUAACCGCAAGUAAAAACCUCUCGUUGUGCAGCACAUACUGUAGCUUCUGUGAGUGGAGGGAGAAGAAACAAGAGCAAACAAAUAGAAAUCCAUUUACACAGCUUCUGCAAUCACUCUCGUGUCAGUGGCUAACUGACAGAAGUGUACUUUAUCACACAUUUUGGGGUUGUGGGAAUUCCCAGUAGAUGGAAAAUCUAGCUUAAACAGAGAAAAAAAGCCACUCAGAGCAGAGCUAAAGUGGUCUGUAUUUAUGUGUCUGCGCGUGGCGUCAGCAUAUUUUAGAUUGCUGGGUUUGCAUGUUUGUUGUUGGUUUGAUGUAGCUGUCAUGAUGUGAUGGAUGAACAUCAUCAUGUAAAGAGUAAAAGGAGAGGUCUGAGCUGCAAGAGAAAGCCGACAUGUUAUAUUGCCCAGGAUGUCCUGAAAAGACAUUACAGCAGGAUCAAUCUCUUUCUAUCCACUUCACCCUCUCCACAGCCCAAAGCCAGCCUGCUUGAACUUUUGAAUAUGGUAAUUUCCUCAAGAAAGCCUCUCCGAGAUCCUGUGGGAUGAUAUAUUUGGUGUGGCGGAGGCAUACCUGCAGAGAGCACUUGUGACAGUGACAUAUUAGUUACGGUGUCUCUUGGAAUCUGAUAACUUCAAAUUUGCCACCUUGUUAAGUUUUGAUUUAUGUGAUACCAUUUCACUAAAGUAAUUGGCCUGGCCUGUUGUAGAAAAUAAUCAGCCUCUCUGCAGAACAAAUACUGGGCCAUGCUAAUGAGGCAGCCCGAGUGCUGAACUGAUGCUGCCGACUGACAGUUAUUAAUGAUUGUUAUGAUAUACAGAAGAGUUGAGAUUGGUCUGAGUUGGGUGAAAAAAAGUGACAUUUAAAAAAUACAGCAUAUUGGGAAGUACUAAUGAAGUAAUAUACUGCUAGGAAAACAAUAAUGUGCGUUGUCAAGGCAAUGUGUAAUUACCCAGCAGCCAUUCUGGCUGGCUGUUUGGCAGGCAGGCUGGGGGGAGAGCUGAACAACCUGGCCGGUAAUGGAUGGAGCUCUGCUGGCAGGGGGCUAAAAUGCACUAGGCAGUGACAGAGGUGUACAGAUUGAUGAAUUAAUUGGGUAUUUCUUGGGACAUAAGGGGAACCGCUGUGGCAUAUGCUCGGCUUGUUACUUUGGAAAGUCUACUGACCCUGAAAGUGAAGCCAUCCCACGCAGGGAGUUGUUGCUUUUUUAUUGCUCUUUCCUGGGGGGUUGAAUUGCACACACAAAUGUUCAGUCAACUGCAAUUUGUUACAAUUUGAUAAAGGUAUACUGUAAGUAGUGCUGAAUAGGGCUGGCCGAUAAUUCAAUAUUAUCGACUUUCAUUGGAAAUAUAUGAUGCCGUUCUCUUAUUAUGUUAUAAUUCUAUUAAUUUCUGUUGUCAAAGUGAAUGAUUCAGAGGCAGAAGCUGCAAUUAAAACUUACAAAAUCAGUUAUUAAAGUUUUUAUUUCUGGAAACUGGAUCAUAGUUUAUUUCUUUGAACAUUAGUUUGACAAAGGUCGUGCACACCAGAAAGUCUUAGGGUCGAGUUAUGCUCGAACAGAACUAGUUCAUAAGACACAUUUUCCGUCCACGUUGGAAAUCAGAAGUGUUUAUAGUUGAUCCGAAGGGCCACACUUGAAGGCAGAGUGAUAACCAUAGAGGGGGGGGAGAAGCGGUAUCGUUUGAAUAUGGGGAUAACACAUUUUCAGACAGUCGGGUAAAAUUUGUUCAUGGUUUUUCUGAUGAAGGUCUGAGGACCGAAACAUCGUAAAUAAAGUGUUUUAUUUGUGAUUGAGUGAUCGACAGUGUGGGAUUUCUUGCUUCUUUCAUAAGGGAUUUUCUGAUUGACUGUGAUUUUCAACUGACAAAAACUUAGUGUAGAUCCAAACAAAACACAUGAAUGGUGGAUCAAAGAGUCUCAUAAAUGACAUCACCAUCCUCCUGACCGGUCAAACUCUAUCGUCCACCCGCAGCCACUUGCAGAGGUCUGCACAUAGUUGCCAUUUAAUCACGGCGCUGCGACACCCCUCUGUCAAAUCUCUCAAACGUUCUUACUUAGCGCUGACUCCCGCUGAGUGAGAAUGAAAGUUCUCACAGCUGCUUACUAUCACUGUGGUCUUACUUCAGCAAGUGCCCAUUGGCUGCAAUCGCUCCUCCUAGCUCAUCUCCCAUCAAGCCGGUGCAUUAAGGCCGACUGCCGACCGCAUCAGUGGGCCUCCUCAGCCCGCAGAGAGUCCCAGGCCCAUCACCACGAAUUAAACCAGAGGCUCUGGUAGUGGCGCUGCUUUUGGUGCCACUGAGCAUUACACUGACACA
Siniperca chuatsi (mandarin fish) is the source of this 3380-nucleotide long non-coding RNA. RefSeq lists it as uncharacterized. The record is from RefSeq and is a predicted model, not a curated record. Lineage: Eukaryota; Metazoa; Chordata; Actinopteri; Centrarchiformes; Sinipercidae. The transcript is spliced from 5 exons.